This 651-nucleotide long non-coding RNA is filed under the name Monodelphis domestica (gray short-tailed opossum). RNAcentral's name for it is "lncRNA (ENSMODG00000037445.1)". The record is from RNAcentral. Lineage: Eukaryota; Metazoa; Chordata; Mammalia; Didelphimorphia; Didelphidae.
CAUGUACUCCCCUCCUUUCCAUCCUUGCUGCUCUCUUUUAGUGUAGGCUGCCAUUACCAGUAAUUAGCCUGUUGGCAAUGUUACUGAUUCACCUGGCUGUCCCAGGUGUUCCGACACCUGCAAAUGGCCAAUAAAGGAUGAGUUCCUCUCCAGGCUUCCCCUUCGCCAGCUGUUGCUAUAUAGACAAGGCAGAUGUUCCCCGUACCCUGGCACUUGCUUAGGCCAACAUCCCUCAAAGCACAUGCAAUGGCUACGCCGUCCCUUGUGGCCAUGGUAAACGCCCCUCUGUACUCGGGAUUUUCUUUGGAGUUGUGUGUGUGUGAGUGUGCAUUUGUAAAAUCUGGCUGUCCUCAUUUACUGUGCAUGGGCCGGUGUGGAGAGGUCUCGGUGUCAUUGAUCUCCAUGAUCUCCUUCACGGGAGCAGGAGAAGGACGUGCUUUAGUGUCUGUCUGGGUCUGGACCGGGAGGGUGCCAAGGAAGUCCAAGAAGGCAGAAAGAAGAGAAAUGAGAAAAUGCCUCAAUGGCAAGAAGGAGGCACGGAGGGAAAUGGCAUCACAAGACCACAGAUUGCAAGAUGGAAGUGACCUCCGGGGCCAUCAAGUGCAACCACCUCAUUUUACAGUUGAGCAAACAAAGAAACACAGAGGUUGA